UGUCACUUCAUAUAUGUUUGUCAACUGUUUGUCAAUUGUCCCUAAUGUUUUAAUAAUCUUAAAUGUCAUGAAAAUUAAAAGAUAAACCAUAAUUAAUGUUUUAAAUCGUUUUUUCUAUUAAUGUACAUAGAAAAAGCAAGUAACGAACUGUUAUUUCUAUUAAAUGAAUUAUGGAAACGGGUAAUAAACGUUCUCCAACGAGAUGUCGAGAAUGGGAGCGUCAAAGACGUUACAAAUUCAACGAUGCCCUUACAAAACUCGGGGAAAUAGUAAUAUCUAUAAACAAAGCCAGGGAUUUAAUUGAAGUGAAAAUGUGCAAUAUCCAAAAGUUGAAAUAGUGCAAAAAGCUAUCCUAUGCCUCACCGACUGCACACAUGAACAAACACAACUAAAAGCUGAAAUUUUAGCUUUGCAAGUGGAACUUGAAAGUGUCAAACAUAAAAAACAAUACAAAGAUGCAUCACAUCAAGUUUAUAUUGAAGUAAAUAAACAGGAGACAGAGACACAAGUAGCUGUAAGCACAAAAGAUGCCUCAAUUCAAGUGUCAUCGGAGCUAUUAGGAGAACUAAAAAUGGAAAGCAUAUGAAGAUGAAAAUUCUGCAGAAAACAAAACAAAAUGCUCUAAAGGAGAAACUGGUAGUCAGUAAUGUUGAAACAAAUGUGCAAAAUCCAAAAAUAGCUAUAAAGGAACCAAAAAUAUAUCCAAGAAUAAGCUUAGGAAAUGAAAAAGCCCCAGAAAACACCAUUGUUGUGCUUCCCGCUGCACCAUAUAUAUUCCCUCAAAGGCCUUUAUUGAUCCCUCAAUGCCACCUACCAUAGUA
Long non-coding RNA from Manduca sexta (tobacco hornworm), 821 nucleotides. RefSeq lists it as uncharacterized. The transcript has 5 exons. The record is from RefSeq and is a predicted model, not a curated record. Lineage: Eukaryota; Metazoa; Arthropoda; Insecta; Lepidoptera; Sphingidae.